This 231-nucleotide ribosomal RNA is filed under the name uncultured bacterium. RNAcentral describes it as "partial 16S ribosomal RNA". It matches the Rfam family "Bacterial small subunit ribosomal RNA", at positions 118 to 346 of the family's 1533-position model. The record is from RNAcentral.
UGAGGAACAUGACCUUCGGCGGGGGAUAGCCGGCCCAACGGCCGGGUAAUACCGCGUACGACCACAUGGGGACAUCCCUGAGUGGUGAGAGCAGCAAUGCGCCGAUGGAGUGCCUCGCGGCCUAUCAGCUAGUUGGUGAGGUAACGGCUCACCAAGGCGACGACGGGUAGCUGGUCUGAGAAGAUGGCCAGCCACAUUGGGACUGAGACACGGCCCAGAUCCCGUACGGGG